Molecule: transfer RNA, 73 nt
Filed under: Ailuropoda melanoleuca (giant panda)
Lineage: Eukaryota; Metazoa; Chordata; Mammalia; Carnivora; Ursidae
Rfam family: tRNA
About the family: Transfer RNA (tRNA) molecules are approximately 80 nucleotides in length. Their secondary structure includes four short double-helical elements and three loops (D, anti-codon, and T loops).
Source: Rfam by way of RNAcentral
GCCUAGCUGGCUUAGUCAGUAGAGCAUGAGAUUCUUGGUCUCAGAUUUGUAAGUUCAAGUCCCAUGAUCGGCA